RNAcentral lists this ribosomal RNA (506 nucleotides) under uncultured bacterium. RNAcentral's name for it is "partial 16S ribosomal RNA". It matches the Rfam family "Bacterial small subunit ribosomal RNA", at positions 28 to 523 of the family's 1533-position model. The record is from RNAcentral.
GAUGAACGCUAGCUACAGGCUUAACACAUGCAAGUCGAGGGGUAACGAGAGGGAAGCUUGCUUUCCUUGUCGACGACCGGCGCACGGGUGAGUAACGCGUAUCCAACCUGCCCCCAACUAAGGAAUAACCUUGCGAAAGUAAGACUAAUACCCUAUAAUUUCCUCAGAUGGCAUCUGACGAGGAAUAAAGAUUUAUCGGUUGGGGAUGGGGAUGCGUCUGAUUAGCUUGUUGGCGGGGUAACGGCCCACCAAGGCAACGAUCAGUAGGGGUUCUGAGAGGAAGGUCCCCCACAUUGGAACUGAGACACGGUCCAAACUCCUACGGGAGGCAGCAGUGAGGAAUAUUGGUCAAUGGGCGGAAGCCUGAACCAGCCAAGUAGCGUGCAGGAUGACGGCCCUAUGGGUUGUAAACUGCUUUUAUACAGGAAUAAAGUUAGCCACGUGUGGUUAUUUGUAGGUACUGUAUGAAUAAGGACCGGCUAAUUCCGUGCCAGCCGCCGCCGUAA